RNAcentral lists this ribosomal RNA (253 nucleotides) under uncultured bacterium. Its description in RNAcentral is "partial 16S ribosomal RNA". It matches the Rfam family "Bacterial small subunit ribosomal RNA", at positions 524 to 776 of the family's 1533-position model. The record is from RNAcentral.
UACGGAGGGAGCAAGCGUUACUCGGAAUUAUUGGGCGUAAAGGGCGCGUAGGCGAUGAGGCAAGUCUGCUGUGAAAGCCCCCGGCUUAACUGGGGAGGGUCAUUCGAUACUGCUCGACUUGAAGGCAGGAGAGGGUAGUGGAAUUCCCGGUGUAGUGGUGAAAUGCGUAGAUAUCGGGAGGAACACCAGUGGCGAAGGCGACUGACUGGACAUGUAUUGACGCUGAGGUGCGAAAGCGUGGGUAGCGAACAGG